GUGAAAUGGGUGGCGUGGGGUGUGGUAAUGCGGAGGCAGGAAGCGUGUGUGGGAGUUACUGUGCGUAAAGGGGGUGUAGGCGGGUCUCUAAGUGCCGUGUGAAAGCUCCCGGCUCAACGGGGAGGGUGCGCGGGAAACUGGAGGGCUUGAGUAUGGGAGAGGAAAGCGGAAUUCCUGGUGUAGCGGUGAAAUGCGUAGAUAUCAGGAGGAACACCUGUGGUGUAGACAGCUUUCUGGACCAUCACUGACGCUGAGACACGAAAGCGUGGGUAGCAAACAGGAUUAGAUACCCCGGUAGUC
RNAcentral lists this ribosomal RNA (300 nucleotides) under uncultured Paenibacillus sp. RNAcentral's name for it is "bacterial SSU rRNA". The stretch from base 52 to 300 matches the Rfam family "Bacterial small subunit ribosomal RNA", at positions 547 to 795 of the family's 1533-position model. The record is from RNAcentral. Lineage: Bacteria; Bacillati; Bacillota; Bacilli; Caryophanales; Paenibacillaceae.